AGUGAACGCUGGCGGUAGGCCUAACACAUGCAAGUCGAACGGCAGCACAGUAAGAGCUUGCUCUUACGGGUGGCGAGUGGCGGACGGGUGAGGAAUACAUCGGAAUCUACUUUUUCGUGGGGGAUAACGUAGGGAAACUUACGCUAAUACCGCAUACGACCUACGGGUGAAAGCAGGGGAUCUUCGGACCUUGCGCGAUUGAAUGAGCCGAUGUCGGAUUAGCUAGUUGGCGGGGUAAAGGCCCACCAAGGCGACGAUCCGUGGCUGGUCUGAGGGGAUGAUCGGCCACACUGGACCUGAGACACGGUCCAGCCUCCUACGGGAGGCAGCGGUGGGGAAUUUUGGACAAUGGGCGCAAGCCUGCUCCAGCCAUCCCGCGUGGGUGAAGAAGGCCUUCGGGUUGUAAAGCCCUUUUGUUGGGAAAGAAAAGCAGCAGGUUAAUACCCCGCUGUUCUGACGGUACCCAAAGAAUAAGCACCGGCUAACUUCGU
Molecule: ribosomal RNA, 491 nt
Filed under: uncultured bacterium
Lineage: Bacteria
Description: partial 16S ribosomal RNA
Rfam family: Bacterial small subunit ribosomal RNA
Source: RNAcentral